CCUACGGGGGGCAGCAGUGGGGAAUAUUGCACAAUGGGGGAAACCCUGAUGCAGCAACGCCGCGUGAGUGAUGAAGGCCUUCGGGUCGUAAAGCUCUGUCCUAAGGGAAGAAUACUGACGGUACCUUAGGAGGAAGCCCCGGCUAACUACGUGCCAGCAGCCGCGGUAAUACGUAGGGGGCUAGCGUUAUCCGGAAUUACUGGGCGUAAAGGGUGCGUAGGCGGCCCUUCAAGUCAGAGGUGAAAGGCUACGGACCAACCGUAGUAAGCCUUUGAAACUGUAGGGGUUGGGUGCAGGAGAGGAGAGGGGAAUUCCCAGUGGAGCGCGCAAAUGCGAAGAGAUGUGGAGGAACACCAGUGGGGAAGGCGGACCUCUGGAGUGUGACUGACGCUGAGGGAAGAAGGCGUGGGGAGCGAAGCAGAUUUGAAACCCGGGUGGUC
This 440-nucleotide ribosomal RNA is filed under the name uncultured bacterium. RNAcentral's name for it is "bacterial SSU rRNA". It matches the Rfam family "Bacterial small subunit ribosomal RNA", at positions 338 to 795 of the family's 1533-position model. The record is from RNAcentral.